CACGUAGGGGACGAGCGUUGUCCGGAUUCAUUGGGCGUAAAGCGCGCGUAGGCGGCUCGGAAAGUCGGUCGUGAAAUGCCGGGGCUCAACCCCGGGACUGCGUCCGAUACUCCCGAGCUGGAGGCAGGUAGGGGAGAUCGGAAUUCCUGGUGUAGCGGUGAAAUGCGCAGAUAUCAGGAGGAACACCUAUUGCGAAGGCAGCUCGCUGGGACGUUACUGACGCUGAGACGCGAAAGCGUGGGGAGCAAACAGG
This 253-nucleotide ribosomal RNA is filed under the name uncultured bacterium. RNAcentral describes it as "partial 16S ribosomal RNA". It matches the Rfam family "Bacterial small subunit ribosomal RNA", at positions 524 to 776 of the family's 1533-position model. The record is from RNAcentral.